RNAcentral lists this small nuclear RNA (101 nucleotides) under Salvator merianae (Argentine black and white tegu). The record is from RNAcentral. Lineage: Eukaryota; Metazoa; Chordata; Lepidosauria; Squamata; Teiidae.
GUGCUUGCUUCAGCAGCCCAUAAACUAAAAUUGGAACAGUACAGAGAAGAUUAGCAUGGCCCCUGCACAGGCAACAAAAAUAAAAAAUUCUAUAUAAUCUA